Callithrix jacchus (white-tufted-ear marmoset) is the source of this 117-nucleotide unclassified non-coding RNA. It matches the Rfam family "Metazoan signal recognition particle RNA". From Rfam's summary of the family: The signal recognition particle (SRP) is a universally conserved ribonucleoprotein. It is involved in the co-translational targeting of proteins to membranes. The eukaryotic SRP consists of a 300-nucleotide 7S RNA and six proteins: SRPs 72, 68, 54, 19, 14, and 9. NCBI's taxonomy places the organism in Eukaryota, Metazoa, Chordata, Mammalia, Primates, Cebidae. The record is from Ensembl.
GCCGGGCGCGGUGGCUCACGCCUGUAAUCCCAGCACUUUGGGAGGCCGAGGCGGGUGGAUCACCAGAGGUCGGGAGUUCAAGACUAGCCUGACCAACAUAGUGAAAACCUGUCUCUA